Bubalus bubalis (water buffalo) is the source of this 457-nucleotide long non-coding RNA. RefSeq lists it as uncharacterized. NCBI's taxonomy places the organism in Eukaryota, Metazoa, Chordata, Mammalia, Artiodactyla, Bovidae. The record is from RefSeq and is a predicted model, not a curated record. The transcript has 4 exons.
CGCGGAUCCCACAAGCCCGGCAAGCCGCGGCGGUGGCGGCGGCAGGCGGCAUCCCAGGGUGAUAGGCCGGAGCAAUCGAGGGCCGAGGGCCCAGCCGCGUGUGCAGAGGAAUAACGAGGCGGAGGAGGAACUGCUGCCGAAGGCAGGAAAAAUCGGACACCGAGUUAUUCACCCAGCCGGUGAAUUCUUUACUGCUGAGCCACCUGGGAAGCCCCUCUAAGUACACAUUAUCAAUAUAAAGAAGAAAUGAGGAUUUGGAAUCUUGACUGUCAACUUGAGGACCAGAUGCUGGACUGUAAAGGUGGGCAGGAGGACCCCUGAAAGGAGAAAAUCAUGAUGAGGGAGGAAGGAGACUGGAACCGUGGACCCAGCUCAGCAAUACAACCUGAAGAGAAAGAUUCUUCAUGUAAGAGAUAUACUGCUACUGCUGCUAAGUCACUUCAGUCGUGUCCGGCUC